UACAGAGGUCUCAAGCGUUGUUCGGAUUCAUUGGGCGUAAAGGGUGCGUAGGUGGCGCGCUAAGUCAGGUGUGAAAUUUCGGAGCUUAACUUCGAAACUGCAUUUGAUACUGGUGUGCUUGAGGACUGGAGAGGAGACUGGAAUUUACGGUGUAGCAGUGAAAUGCGUAGAUAUCAAGAGGAACACCUGCGGCGAAGGCGGGUUGCUGGGCCGACACUGACGCUGAGGCGCGAAAGCCAGGGGAGCGAACGGG
RNAcentral lists this ribosomal RNA (253 nucleotides) under uncultured bacterium. RNAcentral describes it as "partial 16S ribosomal RNA". It matches the Rfam family "Bacterial small subunit ribosomal RNA", at positions 524 to 776 of the family's 1533-position model. The record is from RNAcentral.